UAAUCUGAUCUGGUAAAGCGAAUGAUUAGAGGCCUUAGGGUCGAAACGAUCUUAACCUAUUCUCAAACUUUAAAUGGGUAAGAACCUCACCUUUCUUGAUAAUGAAGGUCGAGGUUGUGAUAUAUUGUGCCCAGUGGGCCACUUUUGGUAAGCAGAACUGGCGCUGUGGGAUGAACCAAACGUAAUGUUACGGUGCCCAAAUUAACAACUCAUGCAGAUACCAUGAAAGGCGUUGCUUGCUUAAAACAGCAGGACGGUGGAUAUGGAAGUUGUAAUCCGCUAAGGAGUGUGUAACAACUCACCUGCCGAAGCAACUAGCCCUUAAAAUGGAUGGCGCUUAAGUUGUAUACCUAUACAUUACCGCUAAAGUAAAUGAUAAA
Molecule: ribosomal RNA, 380 nt
Filed under: Lonchoptera lutea
Lineage: Eukaryota; Metazoa; Arthropoda; Insecta; Diptera; Lonchopteridae
Description: eukaryotic LSU rRNA
Rfam family: Eukaryotic large subunit ribosomal RNA
Source: RNAcentral